Molecule: ribosomal RNA, 530 nt
Filed under: uncultured bacterium
Lineage: Bacteria
Description: bacterial SSU rRNA
Rfam family: Bacterial small subunit ribosomal RNA
Source: RNAcentral
CCUUGACAUACUAAGAACUUUCCAGAGAUGGAUUGGUGCCUUCGGGAACUUAGAUACAGGUGCUGCAUGGCUGUCGUCAGCUCGUGUCGUGAGAUGUUGGGUUAAGUCCCGCAACGAGCGCAACCCUUUUCCUAUUUGCCAGCGGGUCAUGCCGGGAACUUUAAGGAUACUGCCAGUGACAAACUGGAGGAAGGCGGGGACGACGUCAAGUCAUCAUGGCCCUUACGGCCAGGGCUACACACGUGCUACAAUGGUCGGUACAAAGGGUUGCUACCUCGCGAGAGGAUGCUAAUCUCAAAAAGCCGAUCGUAGUCCGGAUCGCAGUCUGCAACUCGACUGCGUGAAGUCGGAAUCACUAGUAAUCGCGGAUCAGAAUGCCGCGGUGAAUACGUUCCCGGGCCUUGUACACACCGCCCGUCACACCAUGGGAGUUUGUUGCACCAGAAGUAGGUAGUCUAACCGCAAGGAGGACGCUUACCACGGUGUGGCCGAUGACUGGGGUGAAGUCGUAACAAGGUAAGCGUAGAUGA